GAAUAAAUCUGCAAAGAGGAAGGGGCUGCGUCCUCCGCCGUUCUCCGCCUCUAGGAGAAGUUGGCUAAGGCAAUGGAAGAAAACAAGAGGAAGAAGAAGAGAGCUCAUGUGCUAACUAGAAGAAGAGAUGAACAACAUCUCUCUAAUUAUAAAGAUAAUGUGGAUGGAGAAAAAGAGAAUAAAUCUGCAAAGAGGAAGAAAAGGAAAGAUGUCAGACUUGAUGAAACUGAAAGUUUGGAAAUUGAUCAAUCUAAUGAAAGAGAGGAUGCACUUGGUCAAGAAAAUAAUGUAUCCGCUAUGAAAAGGAAAUCCAGAAAGAAGAAGCAAAAAAGUGAGAAGAAAGUACAGAGGAAUGAGACUGUUGAUCAUUAUGUUGAGGCUAACAAUGAUUCAGAUCAGAAAAGUGAGAAGGAUCAUUCACUCACAAUAACGCCGGACAACCUGGUGGAAAAGAGAGGACAAGCAGGAGAGGAAGAGAUUGAUGAACUAUCUUCUGGCGAUGAGGAUUGCUCGAAAGGAAUGAGAAAGUGGGUACUCGAUUAUGACCAGAGUAGGCCUGGGUUGAAGGUGUUGCAAGAAAGAAUUGAUGAGUUUAUUACUUCUUAUGAGGCAAAAAAGGAACAGGAAAGGAAAGAAAAAGAAGCCCUUGCUGCAGAAGAUGGCUGGACUGUUGUCGUACAUCACAAAGGAAGGAAAAAGACAACUGAUUCUGAAACUGGAAUUGCAGUUGGUUCUGUUUCCCAAGCUGCAGUCAUGGAUAAUAUGGACAAAAAGAAAAAUAAAGAUGUGGGUUUAGAUUUCUACCGGUUUCAGAAA
Molecule: unclassified non-coding RNA, 816 nt
Filed under: Hevea brasiliensis (rubber tree)
Lineage: Eukaryota; Viridiplantae; Streptophyta; Magnoliopsida; Malpighiales; Euphorbiaceae
Source: RNAcentral